GACGAACGCUGGCGGCGUGCUUAACACAUGCAAGUCGAACGGUAAGGCCCUUCGGGGUACACGAGUGGCGAACGGGUGAGUAACACGUGGGUGAUCUGCCCUGCACUUCGGGAUAAGCCUGGGAAACUGGGUCUAAUACCGGAUAGGACCACUGCCUGCAUGGGUGGUGGUGGAAAGCUUUUGCGGUGUGGGAUGGGCCCGCGGCCUAUCAGCUUGUUGGUGGGGUGAUGGCCUACCAAGGCGACGACGGGUAGCCGGCCUGAGAGGGUGACCGGCCACACUGGGACUGCGGUACGGCCCAGACUCCUACGGGAGGCAGCAGUGGGGAAUAUUGCACAAUGGGCGCAAGCCUGAUGCAGCGACGCCGCGUGAGGGAUGACGGCCUUCGGGUUGUAAGCCUCUUUCAGCACCGACGAAGCGCAAGUGACGGUAGGUGCAGAAGAAGGACCGGCCAACUACGUGCCAGCCGCCGCGGUAA
This 478-nucleotide ribosomal RNA is filed under the name uncultured bacterium. RNAcentral's name for it is "partial 16S ribosomal RNA". It matches the Rfam family "Bacterial small subunit ribosomal RNA", at positions 28 to 523 of the family's 1533-position model. The record is from RNAcentral.